CUCUUCUAUCGAAACUUCUAUCCGAGAUAUGGUAUUGAAUUGAUGGAUCUAAAAUCCAAAACAUAUAUGGAUCAUUUCUUCCUAAAAUCCGUAUGCAUUUCCUUCUUCAUUGUAGAUACGUUAUUCUCACCACCUCAUCCUCAUGAAGUGGACUCCUUCCCUCCACUAGUUAGUUAGUAAGCGGAGCCUUCACAAAUCAUGUUUGGCUUCUCCGUCCAAACUGCAAACACUUCCCAACAUGCAAAUAAAAGCAUAUUGUCUCCUUAGCCAAUCAAAAUGUUGUUAGGAACUUAUCUUGUGUUGAUAAGGUGAACACCACAUCUUCAUCCAUCGUCCAUCAUGUUACAAAGGCUGAUCAACUCAGAAACAAAUCUUGGAGCUCUUUUCUGUAUCUUUCCAAUGAUAUAAAAAUUUU
This 415-nucleotide long non-coding RNA is filed under the name Musa acuminata (dwarf banana). RNAcentral describes it as "long non-coding RNA (MACU_LNC008297)". Lineage: Eukaryota; Viridiplantae; Streptophyta; Magnoliopsida; Zingiberales; Musaceae. The record is from RNAcentral.